This 65-nucleotide transfer RNA is filed under the name Dipodomys ordii (Ord's kangaroo rat). It matches the Rfam family "tRNA". Rfam says of the family: Transfer RNA (tRNA) molecules are approximately 80 nucleotides in length. Their secondary structure includes four short double-helical elements and three loops (D, anti-codon, and T loops). The record is from Rfam by way of RNAcentral. Lineage: Eukaryota; Metazoa; Chordata; Mammalia; Rodentia; Heteromyidae.
GGUGGCUCAGUGCUAGAGCACUUGCCUUGCAUGCAAGAGGCUCAGGGUUCGAUUCCUCAGCACCA